UAUGUUAUUAUUCUUCGUUGGUUCGUUAAAAAUGGAUAAAUAAAAACUUUGCAUACAAGAAUUAAUAAAAAUGUUAUAACGAAUUUAAUUAAAUGUUUUAUCAUUAUAUAUAAAGAAUUUAUGGCAAGAUAAAGUUAUAUACAACCUCAACUCAUAUGGGACUACCCCCUGAAUUUAAGCAUAUUAAUUAGGGGAGGAAAAGAAACUAACAAGGAUUUUCUUAGUAGCGGCGAGCGAAAAGAAAACAGUUCAGCACUAAGUCACUUUGUCUAUAUGGCAAAUGUGAGAUGCAGUGUAUGGAGCGUCAAUAUUCUAGUAUGAGAAAUUAACGAUUUAAGUCCUUCUUAAAUGAGGCCAUUUACCCAUAGAGGGUGCCAGGCCCGUAUAACGUUAAUGAUUACUAGAUGAUGUUUCCAAAGAGUCGUGUUGCUUGAUAGUGCAGCACUAAGUGGGUGGUAAACUCCAUCUAAAACUAAAUAUAACCAUGAGACCGAUAGUAAACAAGUACCGUGAGGGAAAGUUGAAAAGAACUCUGAAUAGAGAGUUAAACAGUACGUGAAACUGCUUAGAGGUUAAGCCCGAUGAACCUGAAUAUCCGUUAUGGAAAAUUCAUCAUUAAAAUUGUAAUAUUUAAAUAAUAUUAUGAGAAUAGUGUGCAUUUUUUCCAUAUAAGGACAUUGUAAUCUAUUAGCAUAUACCAAAUUUAUCAUAAAAUAUAACUUAUAGUUUAUUCCAAUUAAAUUGCUUGCAUUUUAACACAGAAUAAAUGUUAUUAAUUUGAUAAAGUGCUGAUAGAUUUAUAUGAUUACAGUGCGUUAAUUUUUCGGAAUUAUAUAAUGGCAUAAUUAUCAUUGAUUUUUGUGUUUAUUAUAUGCACUUGUAUGAUUAACAAUGCGAAAGAUUCAGGAUACCUUCGGGACCCGUCUUGAAACACGGACCAAGGAGUCUAACAUAUGUGCAAGUUAUUGGGAUAUAAACCUAAUAGCGUAAUUAACUUGACUAAUAAUGGGAUUAGUUUUUUAGCUAUUUAUAGCUAAUUAACACAAUCCCGGGGCGUUCUAUAUAGUUAUGUAUAAUGUAUAUUUAUAUUAUUUAUGCCUCUAACUGGAACGUACCUUGAGCAUAUAUGCUGUGACCCGAAAGAUGGUGAACUAUACUUGAUCAGGUUGAAGUCAGGGGAAACCCUGAUGGAAGACCGAAACAGUUCUGACGUGCAAAUCGAUUGUCAGAAUUGAGUAUAGGGGCGAAAGACCAAUCGAACCAUCUAGUAGCUGGUUCCUUCCGAAGUUUCCCUCAGGAUAGCUGGUGCAUUUUAAUAUUAUAUAAAAUAAUCUUAUCUGGUAAAGCGAAUGAUUAGAGGCCUUAGGGUCGAAACGAUCUUAACCUAUUCUCAAACUUUAAAUGGGUAAGAACCUUAACUUUCUUGAUAUGAAGUUCAAGGUUAUGAUAUAAUGUGCCCAGUGGGCCACUUUUGGUAAGCAGAACUGGCGCUGUGGGAUGAACCAAACGUAAUGUUACGGUGCCCAAAUUAACAACUCAUGCAGAUACCAUGAAAGGCGUUGGUUGCUUAAAACAGCAGGACGGUGAUCAUGGAAGUCGAAAUCCGCUAAGGAGUGUGUAACAACUCACCUGCCGAAGCAACUAGCCCUUAAAAUGGAUGGCGCUUAAGUUGUAUACCUAUACAUUACCGCUAAAGUAGAUGAUUUAUAUUACUUGUGAUAUAAAUUUUGAAACUUUAGUGAGUAGGAAGGUACAAUGGUAUGCGUAGAAGUGUUUGGCGUAAGCCUGCAUGGAGCUGCCAUUGGUACAGAUCUUGGUGGUAGUAGCAAAUAAUCGAAUGAGACCUUGGAGGACUGAAGUGGAGAAGGGUUUCGUGUGAACAGUGGUUGAUCACGAGUUAGUCGGUCCUAAGUUCAAGGCGAAAGCCGAAAAUUUUCAAGUAAAACAAAAAUGCCUAACUAUAUAAACAAAGCGAAUUAUAAUACACUUGAAUAAUUUUGAACGAAAGGGAAUACGGUUCCAAUUCCGUAACCUGUUGAGUAUCCGUUUGUUAUUAAAUAUGGGCCUCGUGCUCAUCCUGGCAACAGGAACGACCAUAAAGAAGCCGUCGAGAGAUAUCGGAAGAGUUUUCUUUUCUGUUUUAUAGCCGUACUACCAUGGAAGUCUUUCGCAGAGAGAUAUGGUAGAUGGGCUAGAAGAGCAUGACAUAUACUGUUGUGUCGAUAUUUUCUCCUCGGACCUUGAAAAUUUAUGGUGGGGACACGCAAACUUCUCAACAGGCCGUACCAAUAUCCGCAGCUGGUCUCCAAGGUGAAGAGUCUCUAGUCGAUAGAAUAAUGUAGGUAAGGGAAGUCGGCAAAUUAGAUCCGUAACUUCGGGAUAAGGAUUGGCUCUGAAGAUUGAGAUAGUCGGGCUUGAUUGGGAAACAAUAACAUGGUUUAUGUGCUCGUUCUGGGUAAAUAGAGUUUCUAGCAUUUAUGUUAGUUACUUGUUCCCCGGAUAGUUUAGUUACGUAGCCAAUUGUGGAACUUUCUUGCUAAAAUUUUUAAGAAUACUAUUUGGGUUAAACCAAUUAGUUCUUAUUAAUUAUAACGAUUAUCAAUUAACAAUCAAUUCAGAACUGGCACGGACUUGGGGAAUCCGACUGUCUAAUUAAAACAAAGCAUUGUGAUGGCCCUAGCGGGUGUUGACACAAUGUGAUUUCUGCCCAGUGCUCUGAAUGUCAAAGUGAAGAAAUUCAAGUAAGCCGGGUCAACGCGGAGUAACUAUGACUCUCUUAAGGUAAGCAAAUGUCGAUCUAAAAGUGACGCCAUAAGGAUUAACGAGCAUCCUACUGCCGAUUGCUACAGCGAACCAUCAAAGCGGACGGCUUAGGAAAAUGAGCGAGAAAGAGAACACUUGAACUAACUACAUAACGCGCCAGUCGAAGCAGACAUACAAGGGAAAUAAUUUGCGGAGCAACUAACGCGGGUAUAGCCCCGUAGAAUGCCAUUCCAAAUGGAGAGCCCAAGAGUUGCAAACUAUCAUUGAUAGGGCACAUCUCGAGGGAAAGGAAACCACUCUCCAAUGCUUAUCGCUAUAUCUCCUGGGAUUUUUCCGGCACAGGGUGUACGACACACACUGACGAGACCUCCUCGGAGACCUCGGAACAGGAGAGAAAGCAGAAGGCAGCAGUACGCUGUCGUCCAGCGUAACUGGGAUAAGCAUAAAGGAAGAUGCAUCAAGUCCUUGCUAAAUGGAACUGAUGAGUCGGUAAUGCCAAGCCAAGAAAUAAUGGUUCCCUACUGGAGAGAAGUAAUGACUCAGCCUAGCCCAAGCUCUUGCAGUGGAGAAGUGAUACAAAUGGAUCACUCGCUUGAGAGGGUAUGGUCUGCUAUUACAGAGCAGGACCUUCGGGCGUCAAGAGUCUCAUUAUCCUCGUCUCCGGGGCCUGACGGGAUAACUCCAAAAUCUGCCAGGGAGGUGCCGUCAGGUAUUAUGCUGCGCAUAAUGAACCUAAUUCUAUGGUGCGGUAAUCUACCACACUCUAUACGACUGGCCAGAACCGUCUUCAUCCCGAAGACGGUGACGGCGAAGCGACCGCAAGACUUUCGUCCAAUAUCAGUGCCUUCAGUCCUGGUAAGACAGCUAAAUGCAAUAUUGGCAACCCGGUUGAACUCAUCAAUCAAUUGGGACCCGC
This 3679-nucleotide ribosomal RNA is filed under the name Drosophila melanogaster (fruit fly). Its description in RNAcentral is "eukaryotic LSU rRNA". The stretch from base 142 to 2880 matches the Rfam family "Eukaryotic large subunit ribosomal RNA". Lineage: Eukaryota; Metazoa; Arthropoda; Insecta; Diptera; Drosophilidae. The record is from RNAcentral.